This 17356-nucleotide long non-coding RNA is filed under the name Homo sapiens (human). The record is from RNAcentral. Lineage: Eukaryota; Metazoa; Chordata; Mammalia; Primates; Hominidae.
GAGCGGAGGAAGGGGAAGGCGGUGGUCGUCGUUCGAGUGGCCUCCUCAGGGUCAGAGUUGAGAAGGGGUGGUGGCUGCUCCUGCCUCCUCCGGAUCCUAGGGCCUGGACCAGCUUGUUCUGAUGCACUGGGUCGCGGUAGCAGAUAAACCAUGGGAACAGCUCUCCUUCCCUCUGCCUUUGAAUUUGUGUGGGGGGCCAGUGUGAGCAGUGAGUGCCCUCACCGGAUGCCCAGGUCCCAGAUGGGUCGCGUUGCACUGGCUCCUCCAAUGUGACUGUCAGGUCUGUUUCCUCUUCGCGACCCCACCUCGCCCCCCACCCCCCAGGUCGCUAGGGGGGCUGCAGCAGGCACAUUUCUGCCCUGCCUGUUUGGGAGUCCUGGCAGAGCCUUCUUGCAGGUCACAACCCGCCUUCUUGGGGGUUCCAGCUUGAGGGGGAGAGGGGGAGCAGCAAGGUCUCAAAUAUGCCCCUGAGGCUUCUGCUUGCCGUCCUGAUUCUCUGCAACUGAGCCUGUGGGGCAGACCCUUGGCUCUGGUCCCUGGGCAGCUCCUCUCGGUUGGUUGUCCCCACUAACACACACAGAUCUCAUACUUGGGUGGAUGAUGGAUAAGGUUGGUCCCUGGGGAAACGCUAGAAAUUGGAUCACUUGGUCUACCCAGUCUUGGAUAGUGAACGGAGCCUCCUGUGUGGACGGAAGCCCAAGAGGGUUGGACCAACCUCCAGCCCAGCCCUGGGUCCAGGUUGAGGUGGGUUUCAUCAUUAAAUGCUUCCUGCAGGUAAGGUUCCAGCUGUCCCCACUCCCAGGAGCAAGCUGUUAGGCUGGGUCCUGUCCACUUCUCUCUGGGUCUGUCUGUUACCUCCUGAGUACCCAUCAGCCCUUUGCCCUGGAUUUUGGACUCCCCAGGCCUUACCUGCAGGUCUUGAGCACAGCUAGUUCUGGACCUAUUCUAUCUGCCUUGUUAGAUCAUGUCCACCCUUCUUGGAGCCUGCUCUCUGUGGCUCCCCCAGCACAAGAGCCUUCAGGCUUCUUAAGUAAGUGGACCUUGUAGGUGCAUAUGGGUUCCAUGUGGAGCCAAACCCCUGCCUAUGUAUUUCAGUAAAUUCUAAGGAUUGCCCUUGGAGUCACCUCCAUGCUCCUCACAGACCGCAAACAUAGCUCCAAGGAUCCACUGCUGUCAGGGUUGGUUUGUGCAUAUAUGUGUGUGUGUGUGUCACUGCAGAUAGGCUGUUCUAGAAUCCACUUGGGCUGCAGUUCCAGCUACCAGAGGUACAGAAUUUCCCAGCCAUUCCACAGCCCCUGGUCACUCACACCCUCCUGGAGGCCUGUGGUCUGCCUGUCUCCAUUCCCCUCCUCUUUACCACUGUGCACAUGCAGCCUUGUACCUUCUCCCUAACUCAGCACCCAAUAUGCACUUUUUCAACAGGGUAUCUCUGCUCCCUAGGAUCUGAUCUUUAUUUUCUUGCAGCCCAAGCUGACCUUCCCAAACUCAUUCUCCUCAUAGUUCUUGAAAGUGUUCCCUCUUUUCAGCUCCUGUAAUUGGCCCCACUUCCUCCUACAAGGUGUUCUGAGUCACUCUUUAUCUGCCAACCAAGGAAUAGUCAGUUCACCGGUAGUUAAGGACAAGCCCUGUAGAGACUGAGUUGCACUGGCGGAAACACUGGGCAUGUGGAUCUAAAUGGCACAUGAGUCCUUCCAGCGCUGCUCCCAGGAGUCCCUCACUGGCAUAAGGCCUAUUGUUAAGGUCAUUUAGGACCACGUCUUCUAAGCAGCACCCACAGAGUGUCACCACUGUGGUACCCUAUUCCCGGCCCAGCUCUGACCUCCUAUUGUCCUCUUGGUCAGAACCAAGAAUUUCCUCCUCUGCUUCAGGGACCCCAAAGCAGGUGCCUCAGAGGGUCCUACUCCCCUUCCUCACUUUCCACCUUGCUCUGCCUCCAACCCUGUUUCUGGCUCACAUGCUCCCCACCCUCCUGCUCUGGUUAUCUCUCCAGAAUCUCUGAGCUCCUUCCACUGGGCCAGAACCCUCUCUCAGAAUGUCAAGCUCUUGAACUCCCACCUCCUCCAAGAAGCUUUUUUGAUAGAUUGGAAGGGACCUAAUACUCUUUCUGACUUCAGCCUUUCCAGCCUUUUCCCAUCAGCAACAGUGGCUACAUAACAACUUGGUUAAGGGCUGGGCUCUGGGUCUAAGAUGUGCAAGAUGGAUAUGGAUGGAAUUUUAAAGACAAGCAGACAAGCUAAUCAAAGAGAUCCAGAAAGAGUAACAACAUUGCUGUUGUAUAUAAGCCGGUGGCAUUGAGAGCUGAGAGGGAGGGUUAUUAUGUUUCUGCAGGGGGAGCCCAAGGGGAAUAAGCCUAGUGAAACCAGAAAGACUUCAUGGAGGAGGUGGGCUUCAUAGAAGGUUGGUGGCUUUCCCACAUUUGCAAGUGUACUCUUCUGGUUAGGUUAUGUUUGGGUUCAUAUUCUGAGAUUCAUCUAUCUUCAUUAUAAUAGUAUCUCUGUGUUGCUUCUCAUCUCUCCAUCUCCCUUAUGUUCCUCUGGGGCAGUGCUGGUUGUGUCAGACUUCCUUAGAUGGGAAAGCCCCUGAGGCCAGUCUCCUUGUCUGUCUUCAUUGCUCUGUAGGUUACCUAGAACAGUGCCUAUUCAGAUUACUGGUUAUUCCUGAAGGUUCUUUAAGGCAAAUACUCUAGGCCCAGACCAAGAACUGGAGGGCCUAGACUGAGGUUUUAGCCUGGAUAGGAUCUGGCCUUAUUGAUGAGUGCAUCCCAUCAGAUUCACCAGAGAUGCUCCUCUCACUCACCCAACCUGGGCAGGUGGGCCCCAUCUUUUAAGAGAACAUCUCCGGACAAUGCUGCUCACACUUUGCCUCCCUUUUGCUCUUCUUAUCUCCCUUCUGAGAAGCCAUAGUCUGGGAGGCAGGACACGGGAGUCCUAGUCUAUGGCUGCCAGUUGUAUGACCUUGGGGAAGUAAUUUCAGCUCUCUGGGACUCGGUUUCAUCAUAUUAAAAUGCAAGGGUUCUACGGAUUUGACUCUUAUUAUCAGAUAAAAAUGAAUAUUAAAAGAACAAGAUAACAUUUUAGGAAUUGGACUAGAGGAGGAUUCCUAAAGCCUCUUUCAACUCCACAGUUCUGAUUCUAAACAAAAUCUGUCCUGUGAAUCUGUUUCACUCUCCAGCUCCAGCCCUGUCUGCUUCUCCCUAAUCUGUUUCUGUCUGAUGGGCUCAGUCUUUGUGUGCACAGCAUCCAUGUGAGGCCUGCACUUCUGCGGUUCACCCCAGGAGAUGAAGGGGAGGGGAGCUUAGGCUCUCAGCAAUGUAAAUCUCCCUAGGUCCCUCCAAGCUUUAGAGGGGCCCCUGAAAGGUGAGAAGGCAAAGAAGAGGAGGGCAAGAUGGCUGAGGCCCAGGAUAUCCCCAGUAAACAUCAAAGGCCCCAGAAACCAAGGUCAUUGCACCUCCCUGUAGGGGCCCCUACAAGGAGGCUAAUGAUGACACAGGUUCUUAAAACAGCCAGGAUGGAGACCCAGCCUGGGCAUCUGAGUGCCUGGAUCCUGCUGCCCCCCCCCCCACCCUGGCACCCCCAACUCCCUUGCCCAUCAGUCUCAGCUCCUGAGGUGUGCAGAGGGGGUGGGUAUGCACGAGCCCAGACUUCUCUCCCUCUCCUGAGGACCUUACCCCAGGGGAGAAGUGGGUGGCUAAAACAAAGGAGGGGAGCAGAACCCCUCUACAGAUAACAGUGGAGGGGGGAGGGGGUAAGCAGAGAGAAGAGAGGAAUUGACAGAGGAGGUGCUGCUAGCUGUCAGGAGGGAGACCCAAAUUCUCAUGUCUUCCCAUUUCGCAGGCUGUUUGCUAGAAGGACUUAAUUAAGGAGCCCAAAUAUAGUUUCUUUUGAACAGUGAAUAGGGCUGGGAGCACAGAUGAGGAAUGUGAUGCUCUGGGGUGGGGAGAGAAGGGACCAAUGCUGAGAUGCUGGAGGGCCCAGGGUGAAGGGGACAGAGAAGACAGGGGUGAGCUGGUGACUCCUUUUCCCUGCCUUAAGCUCUGCUGCUUUCCUUGAUGGAAGGGGGGCCAUUUCUUCCUUUCCCAUCCUCUGUCCUGAUCUCCCUCCAACUCCCUGGCUCCUGCCUUCACCUCCUUUACUGUCCCCUGAGAACAGCUCUCUCUGUCCAGUCCUCCCAGCACUCACCAGAAGCUUUAAGUCUUGGUUCACCUUCUGCCUCCACCAAGCCCCCUUUUUGCCUCCUCCCUUUCGUCCCCCACUCCUUCUCCUCCCAGGCCCCGCUGGCGCCCAGCAUAGCACUACAGAUGUAGGAGCAGAUCAAGAAGGGUGGGGGUGGUAGCUGUUGCUUUUCUGGGAUAUUCUUAGCCUGUCUGGGGGCUGGAGCUGGAAUCAGCGUUUCCAUCUCAACCAGGCAGGUGGCUGCCAGAAACUGCCACUGUGACUGGGUCUUCAUCUGGUUCCAUAUCCCUUAUCCUGUCCCUUCCUCCUCUAUAUUGAUUUCAUCGAUGAACACAGACCCUCUGAGAGUCCAGCCUUCCCACCCUUGUGCCCUAGAUGGAAGGUUUCCUCUGCCUAUCAGGCAUAGCCCCAGGAAGGUGUGCAAACCUCACUGGAGGCUCUGCGGGGAAAGAAGGGCCUUCGAGAACUCUAGCUCAGAUGCUCCCUAGAGUGGAACACAGCCCUCUCCUCUCUGCCCCCAGGCCCUCUUCUUUCAUCUGCCCCCAGCAACCCCUGCAUGGUACUCAGUCCCCAGACUGUAUUCACCACCAUGAAGGCCUUUCUUAUCUUGAUUUACAGGAAUCACUCAGGGGCCCUAGAGUUUCAGAAGCUGCCUCCUGAAAGCGGCUGAACCCUGGAGUCCAGGCCUCCUUUGGGCCAGAACAAGGGGCUCACUGACCCAGAUCUCUCCCCACAUCUUUUUUUUUUUGAGACAAAGUCUCACUCUUUUGCCCAGGCUAGAGUGCAGUGGCAUGAUCUUCACUCAUUCCUGGGCUCAAGGGAUCCUCCCACCUCAGCCUCCCAAGUAGUUGGGACCACAGGCAUGCAUCACCAGGCCUGGCUAAUUUUUGUACUUUUUGUAGAGAUGGAGUUUCACCAUGCUGCCCAGGCUGGUCUCUAACUCCUGGGCUCAAGCAGUCUGCCCACCUCAGCCUCAAAGUGUUAGGAUUACAGGCAUGAGCCACCUCGCCCAGCCUUCUCAGAUGCCCUUAUCAGUAGAGGGAGGGGCAAAGAAGAAAUCUCACUCAUUCACAAAUCGCACAAAAAAUGUUUGUCACCUUAAGAGGGACAGACAGUGCAGGGUCUCCUAUGUGGGUUCUGAGGUCAUUCGGUCUAUGUUCAAAUCCAGCCCCUCCACUUAUGACCUGGGGCCCUUGGGGCAAGUUUCUUAAUUCUUCUGAGGUCUAUAAAAGUGGACCAUACAAGGUGCAGUAGGAAGAGAUCACCAUCCACAGUCGGGCUGAGGCUGAAAGCACGUACCAGAUCAAGUAUGAGGAGCUGCAGACGCUGGCUGGGAAGCAUGGGGAUGACCUGCGUUGUGCAAAGACAGAUCUCCGAGAUGAACCAGAACAUCAGCAGGCUCCAGGCUGAGACUGAGGGCCUCAAAGGCCAGGGGGCUUCCCUGGAGGCCGCCAUCGCAGAUGCCGAGCAGUGGGGGGAGCUGGCCAUUAAAGAUGCCAACACCAAGCUGUCUGAGCUGGAGGCCGCCAUGCAGCGGGCCAAGCAGGACAUGGCACGCAGCUGGGUGAGUACCAGAAGCUGGCCCUGGACAUCGAGAUCGCCACCUACAGGAAGCUGCUGGAGGGCGAGGAGAGCCGUCUGGAGUCUGGGAUGCAGAACGUCCAAACACAAAGGCCUCCCGACCUUAGAGUUCUGCGUCUGGAUGUUUUUGGCUACAAAACCAGAAAACUCCUUCUCAACUGGCUUAAACAGUGAGUUUUGCAUCACACAUCACAAGGAGGCUGGAGGUAGGGCAACCCAGGGACUUUUAAUUGAGCAGUUUGCAUACUCCGUGGAGGACUUGAAUUCUUUCCAUCCCUGUUUUAUAUGUGUGGUUCUGCCCUUGCUUUUUUCAUUUGACAAUAUAUCCUUGAAAUCAUUUCCAACAGGAUGGAAAGAGCUACCUUAUUGUUUUUAGAUUGAAUAGUGUUCCAUUUUAAAGAGAUAUCAUAAUGUACUUAACCAAUUCCCUUGUAAUGAGCACUUACUUUUUUUCCAAUCUUUUGCUGUUACAAUGAUGUGAUGAAUACUCGUACAUAAGUUAUUUUACAUGUGACUGAGUGCAUCCAAGGAUAAAUUCCUAGAAGUGAACUUGCUGGGUCACAAGCUAUAUGCCUUUGUAAUUCUGGCAGAUGUUGCCAAUCUGCCUUCCACAGGGGUUGUACCAAUAUACUCCCCUCCCCAAAUGUGUACAGGAGCACUUCAAGUCUUUUUGACACCUUAACUUAAACAUAGGCUAGAAAAAAUAUGGCAGGUGUCUGGGUGAUUUCUGCAUAGAGAAACAAAGAUGGGUUGUUUAUCAACUCAGUCUUUUUAGCUGGCACCAACACAAGCCUCAGUGCUUUUUCAAUAAAUUAGUAAUCUCUGUGGACUCCCCUGCCCUCACAAUUGUCAGGGUACUAGGCUGUCCAUGCACAGUCCACAUUUCAGAACUUAGUAUCUGCAAUUAGAUCAUUCUGUCCACAAACUACUCCUCUCUAGAGGUCUUUUCUCCCCAUCUCCACCUGGCAAUCUCCUAGUCCUCCCUCAGGCCCAGUUGAGAUGCCCCCUUCCUCCAUUAAACAUUAUCUGACACCCCUAGGCAGAAUUAGCCACUCUUCUUUGCUCCCGUGGAAUUUUGUUCACACCUCAAUCAUGGCACGAAUCACUUGUAAUGUAAUUAUCCACUUACCUGUUCAUCUCCCACAUUGCAUGCCUUAAGGAUAGAAACUUCAUCUUCAUCUCUGGGCCAGCGCUUCUACACAUGGUACCUGGCACAUAAACACUUCACAGUAAAGCUUGCUGAAAUGAAAUCAGGCAGGGGCGCAGUUUUGUGGUGCCUGGUGGCAAAAUCAAACAGUAUUUAUUUUUUCCCUUUUCUGGUAGUAUCAAUGAAAAGGUAAAAAAUAUGGCACUUCUGAGUAUUUCUUUCUAUCUUUUUGUGUUCCUGGACUUCUCCUUCUCCUGGAAUCUGUCCUGUUCUCAGUGCCUAGAACAAUGCCUGGGAAACAACAGGCAUUUCAUAAAUAAAUGUUGGAUGAAUGGGUAUCUUUGAUCAGAGGAAGCUUCCAAAAUGCAGCUGAUUUUUUUUUUUUUUUUUUUUUUUUUUUGCCUGCUUGAUGUGCCCAAAGGGUAUUUCCAAGUCUUUCCAAACCCUCAAGCAUGGACCCUCAUUUGCCAGUUCUGUGUAUUUGGGUUUUAUUUCACCUCGAGUUAAUGCAUGUAAAAGUGCUUAGAACAAUGCCAGCCACUUAGUAAGCAUUCAAUAAGUGCUGACUAUUAUUUUUUAUUAUUAUUCCCACUAGCCCAAACAUGCUCCCAUCAGUCCACCCCUUGUGCUGGGCUCUUCAUUUCUCUCCCCACCAGUUAAUGCGGCCUCAAUCCCUGGAAAACAUCCAUGUAAGCACUCAUGUUUCAAUUUACCAACUGUGUGACCUUGAGCCAGUUACUUAAUCUCUUGGAGGCUCAGUUUCUUCAUUUGAAAAAUAGGCAUUAUCUUAAUAUCUACCUCUAGAUAGACAUUAGAUAGACAUUGUUAUGAGGAUUAAAGAGCCAAUCCAUAGACACUGCUUACCAUCAUGCAGGGCUCAGAGUCGGCAUUUAGCCAGCAUCAUGAUCAUGAUCAUGAUCAUCAUCAUCAUCAUCACUGCAGAUGCCAAACACCUUCCAUCUCUUCUUUCUGGGAGGCUCAUUCCCACAGCUCUUCUGGCUGAUGGUAAACCUUUAACUGGUUCUGAAGUUUGGGGCAUCACCAAGAAGCUUGUGUUGACCAUGUGAUAUGGUUUGGCUCUGCAUCCCCACCCAAAUCUCAUCUUGAAUUUUAAUCCCCACAUGUCAGGGGAGGGGUCUGGUGAGAGGUGAUUGAAUCAUGGGCAUGGACUUCCCCAUUGCUGUUCUUGACUGUGAGUGAAUUCUCAUGCGAUCUGGUUGUUUGAAAGUGUGUGGCACUUCCCCUUCACUCUUUCUCUCUCCUGCUCUGCCAUGGUAAGACACGCUUGCUUCCCCUUUAAGUUCUGCCAUGAUUGUAAGUUUCCUGAGGCUUUCCAGCCAUGCUUCCUGUUAAGCCUGCAGAACUGUGAGUGAAUUAAACCUCUUUUCUUCACAAAUUACUCAGUCUCAGGCAGCUCUUUAUAGCAGUGUGAAAAUGGACUAUACAGAAAAUUAUUUAUAACAGCUAUAAAGAUAUCUGAAAAUGUGGAAGCAACUUUGGAACUGGGUAACAGGCAGAGGUUGGAACAGUUCGGAAAGCUCAGAAGAAGACAGGAAGACGUGGGAAAGUUUGGAACUUCAUGAAGAUUUGUUGAAUUGUUUUGAUGAGAAUGCUGAUAGUGAUAUGGACAAUGAAGUCCAGACUCAAGUGGUCUCAGAUGGAGAUGAGGAACUUAUUGAGAACUAGAGUAAAGGUCACUCUUGCUAUGCUUUAGCAAAGAUACUGGUAGCAUUUUUUCCCCUGCCCUAGAGAUCUGUGGAACUUUGAACUUGAGAGAGAUGAUUUAGGGUAUCUGCUGGAAGAAAUUUCUAAGCAGCAAAGCAUUCAGGAGGUAAACUGGCUGUUUCUAAAAGUGUAUGCUCAUAUGCAUGAACAAAGAGAUGAUCUGAAACUGGAACUUACAUUUAAAAGGGAAGUACAGCAUAUAAGUUUAGAAAAUUUGCAGCCUGGCCAUGUGGUAGAAAAGAAAAAUCCAUUUUCUGGGGAGAAAUUCAAGCCUGCUGCAGAAGUUUGCAUAAGUAAAGAAGAGUUAAAUAGCCAAGACAAUGGGGAAAAUGUCUCCUGGGCAUUUCAGAGACCACUGAGGCAGCCCCUCCCAUCACAAGCCCAGAGACCUAGAAGGAAAAAAUGGUUUCAUGGCCCAGGCCCAGGCCCCAGCAGCUCUGUGCAGCCUUGGGACGUGAUGCCCUGGAUCCCAGCCACUCCAGCUCUAGCCAUGGCUAAAAGGGGCCAAGGUACAGCUCGGGCCAUUGCUUCAGAGAUUGCAAGCCCCAAGUCUUUGGCAGCUUCCAUGUGAUGUUGGGCCUGCAGGUGUGCAGAUGGCAAGAGUUGAGGUUUUGGAAUCUCCACCUAGAUUUCAGAGGAUGUAUGGAAAUGCCUGGAUGUCCAGGCAGAAGUCAGCUGCAGGGGCAGAGCCCUCAUGGGCAGUGCAGCGGGGAAGUGUGGGAUUGGAGCCCUGACACAGAGUCCCCACCAGGGCACUGCCUAGUGGAACCAUGAGAAGAGGGCCACCGUCCUCCAAACCCCAGAAUGGUACAUCCACUGACAGCUUGCACCAUGUGCCCAGAAAAGCCACAGGCACUCAAUGCCAGCCCAUGAAAGCAGCUAUGGGGGCUGUACCCUGCAGAGCCACAGAGGCAAAACUUCCCAAGGCCUUGGGAGCCCACCUCUUGCAUCAGCAUGCCCUGGAUGUGAGACAUGGAGUCAAAGGAGAUUAUUUUGGAGGUUUAAGAUUUAAUGACUUCCAGCCAGGGACAGUGGCUCACGCCUGUAAUCCUAGUACUUUGGGAGGCCGAGAUGGGUGGAUUGCCUGAGUUCAGGAGUUCAAGAACAGCCUGGGUAACACGGUGAAACCCUGUCUCUAAUAAAAUACAAAAAAUUAGCUGGGCAUGUCAGCAUGUGCCUGUAGUCCCAGCUACUCGGGAGGCUAAGGCAGGAGAAUUGCUUGAACCCAGAAGGUGGAGGUUGCAGUGAGCCAAGAUAGCACCACUGCACUCCACCCUGGGUGACAGAGCAAGACUCUGUCUCCAAAAAAAAAAAAAAAAAAAAAGAUUUAAUGACUUCCUUGCCAGGUUUUGAUCUUGCAUAGGACCUGUAGUCCCUUGGUUUUGGCCAAUUUCCCCCUUUGCAAUGGGAGCAUUUACCUAAUUCCUGUAUUUCCAUUGUAUCUUGGAAGUUACUAACUUGUUUUUUAUUUUACAGGCUCAUAGGCGGAAGGGGCUUGCCUUGUCUCAGAUGAGACUUUGGACUUAGACUUUUGAGUUAAUGCUGGAAUGAGUUAAGACUUUGGGGGACUGUUGGGAAGGCAUGCUUGGCUUUGAAAUGUGAUGACAUGAGAUUUUGGAGGGGCCAGGGGUGGAAUGAUAUGGUUUGGCUCUGUCCUCACCCAAAUCUCAUUUCGAAUUGUAAUCCCCACAUGUGGGGGGAGGGGCCUGGUGGCAGGUGAUUGAAUCAUUGGGGUGGAGUUCCCGCUUGCUAUUCUUGUGAGAGUGAGUUCUCACAAGAUCUGGUUGUUCAAAAGUGUGUGGCACUUCCCUCUUCACUCUCGCUCUUUCCUGCUCCACCACGGUAAGACAUGCUUGAUUCCCCUAACCCCUCCACCACAAUUGUAAGUUACCAGCCAUGCUUCCUGUUAAGCCUGUGGAAAUGUGAGGAAAUUAAACCUCUUUUCUUCAUAAAUUACUCAGUCUCAGGUAGUUCUUUAUAGUUAAAAUGGAUUAAUAUAUCAUGUGUUGAUGAAGUUCCUGUUAUUCCCUCCUUACCCUCCUACGUGGAUUAUCUAAAGAUAUUUAUUUCACUCCCACAAAAAUGUUUUGUUCUCACCCAUUCCCGAGAGCUGAAAGUAGGCUGUGGGAACUUUGAGUGAGAAAAUAAGAGCAGCCUACUCCCCCUGACCAUAUUCCUGCCUGAUGGCCAGUAUUUGGGUGACACUUCACCCUGCCACCAAUUUUUUGAGUCCUAUUUCCCACAGACUCUGUGUUAGUCCAUUCUUGUGCUGCUAUAAAGAAAUACCUGAGACUAGGUAAUUUAUAAAGAAAACAGGCUUUGAUUUGGCUCACGUUUCUGCAGGCUGUACAGGAAGCAUGGUGCCAGCAUCAGCUUCUUGUGAAGGCCUCAGGAAGCUUUCAAUCAUGGCACAAAGUGAAGGGGAGCCAGCACAUCACAUGGUGAAGAGAGGGCGCAAAAGAGAGAAGGGGGAGGUCUCAGAUUCUUUUAAACAACCAGUUCUCAUGUGAACUAACUGGGAGAGAACAUCACCAAGAAAUGGUGCUAAGCCAUUUGUGAAGGAUCCACCCCCAUGAUCAAAUCACCUCCCACCAGGUCUCACCUCUAACAGUGACGGUUACAUUUCAACAUGAGAUUUGAAGAGGACAAACACCCCAAACAUAACAGACUCACUUGUGACUUUGCCCUGUAAACUUUCAGGGAAAAUGAGGUCACUUCUGACCCAGAGACUCUGUCAUCUUACCCUCUCCUGGGGGUCUUCAUCUAAAGAAGUAAGUGUAAAUUCCUUACUGAUCCAGUUUUGUAUGUGUAUGUGUGUGUAUACACAAAAUUUACUAUAUAGAAAGUAAAUUCUUCUACUAUAUAUAUGCAUUAUAUAUAUACACAUUAUAAUGUAUAUAUAUAAUGUAUAUAUAAAUAUAUAUAAUUGUGUGUGUGUGUGUGUGUGUGUAUAUAUAUAUAUAUAUAUACAGUAGAAGAAUUCAGAGGUGUUAGAAAUUAUGAAGAGGGGCCAGGCACGGUGGCUCACGCCUGUAAUCCCAGCACUUUGGGAGGCCAAGGCGGGCGGAUCACGAGGUCAGGAGAUCGAGACCAUCCUGGCUAAUGCGGUGAAACCCAGUCUCUACUAAAAAUACAAAUAUUAGCCAGGCGUGGUGGCGGGUGCCUGUAGUCCCAGCUACUCGGGAGGCUGAGGCAGGAGAAUGGCAUGAACCCAGGAGGCAGAGCUUGCAGUGAGCUGAGAUCAUGCCACUGCACUCCAGCCUGGGCGACAGAGCGAGACUCCAUCUCAAAAAAAAAAAAAAAGAAAGAAAUUAUGAAGAGGAUUAUAAGAUAACUACCACAGAAGGCAGGUGGAAGUGGUCUCUGUGGAGAAGGAAGAAUUGGGGAAGAGCCCACAAGGAACACACGAGACCAUCGUUAUAUUUGUUUCUCACCCUGAGUAGUGGGUACACAGAUGUUCACUGGACUAUUAAUCUUUAAAAUGUACAUAUAUAUUUAACACAUUGAAGUGUACAUGAUGGAUUUCAUAAUUUUUUUAAAGUAAAAUAUUGUGAAAGGGAAGGGAAGGAAGGAAAGGAAGGCAAAUGAAAGGAAAAGAAAGGAAGAAAGAAAGAAGGAGGGAGGAUGGGAGGAAGAAAGAAAACUGGAUUUGUUAAUAGGAAAGAAUAUAUCAAUGUCAAAUCCCCAUUCUAGGCUAGCAUUAUUCAGCAUCCAGAAGGAUCAUCUCAACAAUUACUCAGUGGAUCAGCUUAUUUAAUUGAUGACUGUACAGUUAAUUCAUGCUCAAAAAUCAAACAUUCUAAGCUUCUUUCUAUGAAUAUCUUCCAGACCAAGAUUAUUCAUCUCAUGGUUUUAAAGGACAGAAUUUCCUGGAGAAUGUUGGUCCUCUUGUAGGUGCUACUGCAGCAAAGUUGAAACAAUCAUACGUCAGACCAAAAUACAAGUCAGUUCUUCAGUUUUCACUAAUUAAAAUUAACUCUGUCUAAAUAAAUCAACUCUUACCACCUUCAGGAUUCAUAUCUCAAGUAAGAGACAUUCUUACUGACCAAUAACACAAAAUAUCCCACCCUCAGCACUAGGAUCCUCAGUUUUGAAUUCUUUCAACCAUUUUUGUCAAAAGCCUUGCUGUAGCCAGGUGUGGUGGCACAUUCCUGUAAUCUCAGCUACUCGGGAGGCUGAGGAGGGCAGAUCCAUUGUCCCUAGGAGUUGAAGGCCAGCCUGGGCAACAUAGCAAGACUCUGUCUCAAAAAAAAAAAAAAUACAUGACAACAAUAACAUGAAAGCCAGGAGAAUGCUAAAAUGAAUUAAAGUGUCAUAAGGUCCCUAGAGUUAUUUAGAAAAGGGUGAAAGUACUAAUUCAAGGGUGACCUAAUUAAGCCAAGGAUGCAUGCUAUAAUAUGUGGGUAAUAAAAUAACAAUAAUAGCAAACACGUGACUACUAAUUUAUAGAGGAUGAAAAUGAAAUAAUUAGGAAAAUAUUGAUUGAUCCAAAAGAAGGCAAGAAAGAGGUAAAAAGAAACAAAAAACAGAUGUGAAAAAUGGAAAAAAAUGGCAAAAUGGUAUACUUUAAACCCUACAGUAUCAGUAAUUACCAUAAUAUAAAUCAAUUAAAGGCAAAGAUUUUCAGACUGGACAAGAAAAAAAAAACAACUAUAUGCUGUUAUAGAAGACACACCUUAAACAUAAGGAUGCAUAAAGGUUGGAAAUAAAGGGAUUUUUGGCCAGGUGUGGUGGCUCAUGCCUGUAAUCCUAGCACUUUGGGAGGCUGAGGUGGGUGGAUCACCUGAGGUUAAGAGUUCAAGACCAGCCUGGCCAACAUGGUGAAACCCCAUCUCUACUAAGUAUACGAAAAUUAGCCGGGUGUGGUGGCACACGCCUGUUAUCCUAGCUACUUGGGAGGCUGAGGCAUGAGAAACACUUGAACCCGGGAGGUGGAGGUUGCAGUGAGCUGAGAUUGUGCCACUGCACUCCAGCCUGGGCAACAGAGCGAGACUCUGGAAAGAAAGAAAAGAAGGAAGGGGAGGGGAGGGGAGAGGAAGGGGAGGGGAAGGGAAGGGAAGGGGAAGGGGAAGGGGAAAGGGAAGAGAGAAAGAGAAAGAAGGAAAGAAAGGAAAGGAAGGAAGGAAGAAAGAAAGAAAAAGAAAGAGAAAGAAAGAAAGAAAGAAAGAAAGAAAGAAAGAAAGAAAGAAAGAAAGAAAGAAAAGAAAGCGAUUUUUUUAAAAAAAGAAAAAAAAUAAGUCAUGAAAACACCAAAAGGAAGCUGGUGUAUCUGUACUGGUAUCAUAAACAUAAGGAAAAAAGUAUUGCUAGAGAUAAUGAGAGACAUUUCAUAAUAACGAAAGGGAAAUUUUAAUAGGAAAAUAUAAAAUCCUAACUAUAUAUGCAAUUAAAAACAGCCUCAAAACAUAAAAGUAAUAACUGACAGGUCUAAAAGGAAAAAGAGAAAUCCAUAAUAAUAGUUGGAAAUUUUUUAACAUAUAGCUCUCAAUAACUGGUAGAAUAAGUAGACAAGAAAUCAACAUUAGGAUAUAGGAGAUUUUGAAUAACAUGAUUAACAAAACUGAUCUAGAUGACAUAUAAUUAUCAUACCCAAUAGCUGCAGAAUGCCAUCUUUUCCAAUAUACAUUGAACAAUGAUCAAAAUACCCCCACAGGUUUUUUUUUCUUUUCCUUGUAAGCAUUUUCAAUGAACUCACAAUUUUGAUACGCCAUUUCUCUGUUAUCAUUUAGUUUUAAACAUUGUCUUAUUUCCACUGUGAUUUCUUCUUUGGCCCAUGAGAACAUUCUUAGCAAGUGUGUUGCUUAACUUCCAAAUAUUUGUAAUCUUCUAGUUGUUUUUUGUUAUUGAUUUCUAGUUUAAUUUGUCAGAGAUUUCAAUCCUGUAAAAUUUGCUGAGAUUUCCUUUAUAGCCCAGCUUAAAACAAAACUCAAAAGGAUCAAACCAUUUCCAAGUAACUGCGUCCCAGAACAAAGUUCAAACAUAAUUAAAGGAAUACAAAAUAAUCUAGCACCCAACAAAGUAAAAUUUACAAUGUUUGGCACCUGAUCAAAGAUUACCUGGCUUACAAAGAAGUAGAAAAAUAUCACCUAUAAGGAGGAGAAAAAUAAAUCAAUGGAAGCCAACCUAGAACUGACAUAGGUGUUAGGAUUAUCAGACAAGGACAGUAAAACAAUUGUUACAACUAUAUUUUGUAUGUUCAAAAGUUAAGUAGACACUUAGAAGGUGUAUAAAAUUAAAAACCUAAAUUGAUCAUCCAGAGAUGAAAGCUACAAUGUGUGAGAUGAAUUAUACACUGAAAGGGAUUAGCAGAUUAGAUUUUAAAGAAAAAAUGAUUAGUGAACUUGAAUACAUAGACUAUGAUAAAUUUAAGAUGUAUGCUAUAAACCAUACAGCAACCACUAAAAUAAUGAAAUUAAGAGUUAGAGGCCAGGUGUGGUAGCUCACUCCUAUAAUCCCAGCACUUUGGGAAGCCAAGGCAGGAGGAUCACUGGUGGCCAAGAGUUCAAGACCAGCCUGGGCAACAGAGCUAGAUCCUGUCUCUGAAGUAAUUUAAAAAUUAGCAAGGUAUGGUGGAGCAUACUUGUAAUCCCAGCUACUGGGGAAACUGAGGUGGGAGGACUGCUUGAGACCAGGAGUUGGAGGCUGCAGUGAAAUGUGAUCACGCUGCUGCACUCCAGUCUGGGCAAGAGAGCAAGACCCUGUUAAAAAAAAAAAUAGAGUUAUAGCAAAAAGCCAAUUAAGAAAAUAAAGCAGAAUUUUUUAAAAAUACAAAAAUAGUCAACCCAAAAGCAGGUGGAAAAGGAAACAAAGAAUAGAUAGGACAAAUAGAAAACAAAUAGCAAGGUGCUGACACACCUAAUCAUAUCUUUAAAAUCACAUUAAAUGUAAUUUAAUUAAUUAAAUGGCACAGAUUGUCAGUUUGGAUUUUCUUUAAAAAAAGACCCAACUACAUGCUGCCUAAAAGAAACACACUUUAAAUAUAAAGAAACAAAUAGGUUAAAAGACAUAUGAUGCCAAUACUAAAAGAAAUUCACAGUGACUAUAUUAAUAUCAGAUAAAAUAGAUUGCAGAGAAAAUAAAGAAGGUCAUCUUACAAUGAUACAAGGGUCAACUCACCAAGAGAACAUAAUAGUCCUAAAUGUUUAUGCACCUAAAACCAGUUUCAAGACUGGUUUUGAAAAACUGAGAGAACUGUAUGGAGAAAUAGACAAAUCUACAAUUAUAUUCAGAGGUUUCAAUAUCUCUCCCAAUAAUUGACAGAACACAUAGACAGAAACUCAUGAGACUAUAGAAAAUAUGAACAACACUGUCAACCAACUUGACCUCACUGACAUUUAUGGGACACUCCACUCACAACAGCAGCAUACACAUUCUUUUCAAGUGCACACGGAACAAUUACCAAGAUAGGCCAUUUUGGGGGCAUAAAACAAUUAAAAUUAUUGUUACAAUUAUUCAAGACACACAAUGUAUAUUCUCUAAACUCAAUGAAAUUAAAUUAGAAAUCGUUAACAGAAAGCUCUCUGGAAAUUUCCCAAAUAUUUGGAAAUUAAAUAACAUACUCCUAAAUAACUUAUGGAUCAAGUAAGAUAUAAGUUAGAAAGUAUUUUGAACUGAAUAAAAAUAAAAAUCCAAAACAGUGAAGUUUGUGGGGUGCUACUAAAAGCAGUACUUAGAAAUGCACAGCACUAAGAACCUCUAUUAGAAAAGAAGAAAGGAGACCAGGCAUGGUGGCUUACGCCUGUAAUCCCAGCACUUUGGGAGGCCGACGUGGGUGGAUCACCUGAGAUCAGGAGUUCGAGGCCAUUCUGGCCAACAUGGCGAAACCCUGUCUCUACUGAAAUACAAAAAUUAGCCAGGCAUGGUGGCGGGCGACUGUAUUCCCAGCUACUCGAGAGGCUGAGGCAGAAUUGCUUGAAACCUGGGAGGUGGAGGUUGCAGUGGAUGAGAUCGUGCCACUGCACUCCAGCCUGGGCGACAGAGUAAGACUCCAUUUCAAAAAAAAAAGGUCCAAAAUCCAUGAUCUCAGUUUCCAACUUAAGAAACUAGAAAAAGAAGAGUAAGUAAAACUGAAAGUAAGUAGAUAAAAAGGAAAUAAUAAAUAUCAAAGCAGAAAUCAAUACAUUUUUUAAAUGGGAAGUUUAAAAAAUUCAAAACAGACACCAUGGAUUCAAUCAUGCUCAUUUCAGCAGCACAUAUACUAAAACUGGAAUGAUACAGAGAUUAGCACGGUCCCUGCACAAGGAUGACAUGAAAAUUUGUGAAGUGUUCCAUAUUAAAAAAAAUAAAGUAAUUCUAAAUUCAAUAGAAUAAUUUAUUUUUAUUUAUUUAGAGAUGGAUCUUGCUCACUCUGUCGCCCAGGCUGGAGUGCAGUGGCAUAAUCUUGGCUCACUGCAACCUCCGCCUCCUGGAUUCAAGCAAUUCUUGUGCUUCAGCCUCUCAAGUAGCUGAGAUUACAGGAAUGUGCCACCAUGCCUGGCUAAUUUUUGUAUUUUAGUAGAGACAGGGUUUCACCAUGUUGGCCAGUCUGGUCUUGAACUCCUGACCUCAAGUGAUCCACCUGCUUCAGACUCCCAAAGUGUUGAGAUUACAGGUGUGAGGCAUCAUCCUGGCUAAAUUCAACAGAAUAAUUUAAAAAACAAUAGAGAAAACCAAUGAAACUAAAACUUGUUUCUUUGAGAAAUAUCAAUGAAAUUGAUAAACUUCUAGCCAGAAUGAUCAGGAAAAAAAGAGG